RNAcentral lists this unclassified non-coding RNA (283 nucleotides) under Pholiota virescens. RNAcentral describes it as "partial internal transcribed spacer region". The stretch from base 1 to 46 matches the Rfam family "Eukaryotic small subunit ribosomal RNA", at positions 1786 to 1831 of the family's 1831-position model. The record is from RNAcentral. Lineage: Eukaryota; Fungi; Basidiomycota; Agaricomycetes; Agaricales; Strophariaceae.
AAGUCGUAACAAGGUUUCCGUAGGUGAACCUGCGGAAGGAUCAUUAUUGAAUAAACUUGGUGUGGUUGUUGCUGGUCCUUUCGGGGGCAUGUGCACACCCAUCAUCUUUAACUUUCCACCUGUGCACAUUUUGUAGGUCAAAAUUUUUUCCCGAGACACGCGUUUCGUGGAAUAGGUUUUUGCCUAUGUUUUCAUAUACACCAUAAGAAUGUAACAGAAUGUAUCAAUGGGCUUCAUGCCUAUAAACUAUAUACAACUUUCAGCAACGGAUCUCUUGGCUCUC